GACUCUCGGCAACGGAUAUCUCGGCUCUCGCAUCGAUGAAGAACGUAGCGAAAUGCGAUACUUGGUGUGAAUUGCAGAAUCCCGUGAACCAUCGAGUUUUUGAACGCAAGUUGCGCCCGAAGCCGUUAGGCUGAGGGCACGUUUGCCUGGGCGUCGUAUU
RNAcentral lists this ribosomal RNA (160 nucleotides) under Nymphoides cordata. RNAcentral describes it as "5.8S ribosomal RNA". It matches the Rfam family "5.8S ribosomal RNA". From Rfam's summary of the family: 5.8S ribosomal RNA (5.8S rRNA) is a component of the large subunit of the eukaryotic ribosome. It is transcribed by RNA polymerase I as part of the 45S precursor that also contains 18S and 28S rRNA. The record is from RNAcentral. Lineage: Eukaryota; Viridiplantae; Streptophyta; Magnoliopsida; Asterales; Menyanthaceae. RNAcentral also lists the same sequence under 1 other name.